AUUCCUACGGGAGGCAGCAGUGAGGAAUAUUGGUCAAUGGACGAGAGUCUGAACCAGCCAAGUAGCGUGAAGGAUGACUGCCCUAUGGGUUGUAAACUUCUUUUAUAAGGGAAUAAAGUGAGGGACGUGUCCCUUUUUGUAUGUACCUUAUGAAUAAGGAUCGGCUAACUCCGUGCCAGCAGCCGCGGUAAUACGGAGGAUCCAAGCGUUAUCCGGAUUUAUUGGGUUUAAAGGGAGCGUAGGUUGACAUAUAAGUCAGCUGUGAAAGUUUACGGCUCAACCGUGAAAUUGCAGUUGAUACUGUAUGUCUUGAGUGUACAAGAGGUGGGCGGAAUUCGUGGUGUAGCGGUGAAAUGCUUAGAUAUCACGAAGAACUCCAAUUGCGAAGGCAGCUCACUGGGGUACAACUGACACUGAGGCUCGAAAGUGCGGGUAUCAAACAGGAUUAGAUACCCUGGUAGUCCACACAGUAAACGAUGAAUACUCGCUGUUUGCGAUAUACAGUAAGCGGCCAAGCGAAAGCAUUAAGUAUUCCACCUGGGGAGUACGCCGGCAACGGUGAAACUCAAAGGAAUUGACGGAAU
Molecule: ribosomal RNA, 584 nt
Filed under: uncultured bacterium
Lineage: Bacteria
Description: bacterial SSU rRNA
Rfam family: Bacterial small subunit ribosomal RNA
Source: RNAcentral